RNAcentral lists this ribosomal RNA (467 nucleotides) under uncultured bacterium. RNAcentral's name for it is "partial 16S ribosomal RNA". It matches the Rfam family "Bacterial small subunit ribosomal RNA", at positions 28 to 507 of the family's 1533-position model. The record is from RNAcentral.
GAUGAACGCUGGCGGCGUGCUUAACACAUGCAAGUCGAACGGAAAGGCCCAAGCUUGCUUGGGUACUCGAGUGGCGAACGGGUGAGUAACACGUGGGUGAUCUGCCCUGCACUUCGGGAUAAGCCUGGGAAACUGGGUCUAAUACCGGAUAGGACGAUGGUUUGGAUGCCGUUGUGGAAAGUUUUUUCGGUGUGGGAUGAGCUCGCGGCCUAUCAGCUUGUUGGUGGGGUAAUGGCCUACCAAGGCGUCGACGGGUAGCCGGCCUGAGAGGGUGUACGGCCACAGUGGGACUGAGAUACGGCCCAGACUCCUACGGGAGGCAGCAGUGGGGAAUAUUGCACAAUGGGCGCAAGCCUGAUGCAGCGACGCCGCGUGGGGGAUGACGGCCUUCGGGUUGUAAACUCCUUUCGCUAGGGACGAAGCGUUUUGUGACGGUACCUGGAGAAGAAGCACCGGCUAACUACGUG